UACAGAGACUGCAAGCGUUAUUCGGAUUCACUGGGCUUAAAGGGCGCGUAGGCGGUCCGCCAAGUCAGGGGUGAAAUCCUGCAGCUUAACUGUAGAAGUGCCUCUGAUACUGGCGGUCUUGAGGGAAAUAGGGGUGUGCGGAACUUCCAGUGGAGCGGUGAAAUGCGUUGAUAUUGGAAGGAACGCCGGAGGCGAAAGCGGCGCACUGGAUUUCUUCUGACGCUGAGGCGCGAAAGCUAGGGGAGCAAACGGG
Molecule: ribosomal RNA, 253 nt
Filed under: uncultured bacterium
Lineage: Bacteria
Description: partial 16S ribosomal RNA
Rfam family: Bacterial small subunit ribosomal RNA
Source: RNAcentral